GCCGAGGUGGCGAAACGGUAGACGCAGCGGACUCAAAAUCCGCCGUGGGAGACCACGUGGGGGUUCGAUUCCCCCCCUCGGCACCA
This 86-nucleotide transfer RNA is filed under the name Synergistaceae bacterium. Its description in RNAcentral is "tRNA-Leu". It matches the Rfam family "tRNA". From Rfam's summary of the family: Transfer RNA (tRNA) molecules are approximately 80 nucleotides in length. Lineage: Bacteria; Thermotogati; Synergistota; Synergistia; Synergistales; Synergistaceae. The record is from RNAcentral.